AGCCCCGUGGUGUAGCGGUCAAAUACUUUAAGCAAAGCUUGAGUAGACUUUGCAUAGGGCCCUUUGGAGGCUCUGACGGCAGUUCGAAUCUGCCCGGGGCUA
RNAcentral lists this transfer RNA (102 nucleotides) under Candidatus Woesearchaeota archaeon. Its description in RNAcentral is "tRNA-Gln". It matches the Rfam family "tRNA". From Rfam's summary of the family: Transfer RNA (tRNA) molecules are approximately 80 nucleotides in length. Their secondary structure includes four short double-helical elements and three loops (D, anti-codon, and T loops). Lineage: Archaea; Nanobdellati; Candidatus Woesearchaeota. The record is from RNAcentral.